GAAAAACCAGAAAAGAAAUGG
RNAcentral lists this ribosomal RNA (21 nucleotides) under Mundiphaedusa decapitata. RNAcentral's name for it is "partial 5.8S rRNA". RNAcentral also lists the same sequence under 2 other names. Lineage: Eukaryota; Metazoa; Mollusca; Gastropoda; Stylommatophora; Clausiliidae. The record is from RNAcentral.